This 202-nucleotide unclassified non-coding RNA is filed under the name Hevea brasiliensis (rubber tree). The record is from RNAcentral. Lineage: Eukaryota; Viridiplantae; Streptophyta; Magnoliopsida; Malpighiales; Euphorbiaceae.
GCAUAGUGAGCAGGGAGACAGGUAUAAUUCAAUUUAGGUAACUUGAUAAUACUUGCUGUUUAUAUUUGUUUCUUUGGGUGGUAGUUCCUGGUUGGAGGCAAGUGAUUUACUUUUGAAGAUUAAUUGAUCUUUAGAUGUUUAUGGGUUUGGCACUUUCUUAAAUAUAAUAGUCAGAAAAUAUUAAAAAAUAAUUAAAAAUUAA